RNAcentral lists this ribosomal RNA (432 nucleotides) under uncultured bacterium. RNAcentral describes it as "partial 16S ribosomal RNA". It matches the Rfam family "Bacterial small subunit ribosomal RNA", at positions 28 to 507 of the family's 1533-position model. The record is from RNAcentral.
GAUGAACGCUGGCGGUAUGCUUAACACAUGCAAGUCGAACGGUCACUUCGGUGAUAGUGGCGGACGGGUGAGUAACGCGUGAGAAUCUGUCUUCAGGUCGGGGACAACAGUUAGAAAUGACUGCUAAUACCGGAUGUGCCUUUGGGUGAAAGAUUUAUUGCCUGAAAAAGAGCUCGCGUCAGAUUAGCUAGUAGGUGGUGUAAGAGACUACCUAGGCUCCGAUCUGUAGCUGGUCUGAGAGGACGAUCAGCCACACUGGAACUGAGACACGGUCCAGACUCCUACGGGAGGCAGCAGUGGGGAAUUUUCCGCAAUGGGCGAAAGCCUGACGGAGCAAUACCGCGUGAGGGACGAAGGCUUUUGGGUCGUAAACCUCUUUUCUCGAGGAAGAUGAUGACGGUACUUGAGGAAUAAGCAUCGGCUAACUCUGUG